RNAcentral lists this signal recognition particle RNA (288 nucleotides) under Candidatus Aenigmatarchaeota archaeon. Its description in RNAcentral is "signal recognition particle sRNA". It matches the Rfam family "Archaeal signal recognition particle RNA". Lineage: Archaea; Nanobdellati; Candidatus Aenigmatarchaeota. The record is from RNAcentral.
UUGCGGGGGCAUGGUCGGGGGGUUAGGCCUCCCCUACUGGCGAAAGCCAGUGGCAAAUGGUCUAUAUGGCCGACCUACAGCCUGAGGGCGGUAUGUAAGUGCAUACCAUUCCAAACAUCCGACGAAGAACUCUCGCCCCACAGGGUCGCACUAUCAGUGAACCGAGUCAGGCCCGGAAGGGAGCAGCUCUAAGCUGGUAGUGCGAUGCUUGUGGGAUAACGGGAGGGAGAAGGGUGUUUGGAUUGAAAUGGUAUGCGCUUACAUAUCCACCGAAGGUGGCCCCCGCAA